RNAcentral lists this ribosomal RNA (480 nucleotides) under uncultured bacterium. RNAcentral describes it as "partial 16S ribosomal RNA". It matches the Rfam family "Bacterial small subunit ribosomal RNA", at positions 28 to 507 of the family's 1533-position model. The record is from RNAcentral.
GAUGAACGCUAGCGGCAGGCCUAAUACAUGCAAGUCGAGGGGUAUGGGUUGCUUGCAACCCAGAGACCGGCGCACGGGUGCGUAACGCGUAUGCAAUCUACCUUAAUCAGGGGGAUAGCCCGGAGAAAUCCGGAUUAACACCGCAUAACAUUGAGUUGUGGCAUCACAGUUCAAUCAAAUAUUUAUAGGAUUAAGAUGAGCAUGCGUGACAUUAGUUAGUUGGUGAGGUAACGGCUCACCAAGACCACGAUGUCUAGGGGAUCUGAGAGGAUGACCCCCCACACUGGUACUGAGAUACGGACCAGACGCCUACGGGAGGCAGCAGUAAGGAAUAUUGGUCAAUGGGCGCAAGCCUGAACCAGCCAUGCCGCGUGCAGGAAGACGGCCCUAUGGGUUGUAAACUGCUUUUGUACCGGAAUAAACCUUCUCUUGCGAGAGAAGCUGAACGUACGGUAAGAAUAAGGAUCGGCUAACUCCGUG